UUGAAUAAACUUGAACAGGUUGUUGCUGACUCCCCAGUAGGGGGUAAGUGCACGCUUGUCAUCUUUAUUUCUCCAACUGUGCACACACUGUAGACUUGAAAGAGGAUUGCUGUGCUUUGUGAAACAGAGUCAGCUUUGCCUUGCAUAUUUUUAGGUCUAUGUUAUUUCACAAUCUCUGAAAUGUAUUGGAAUGUGUGGAAUAUAUGAAUAUAUAUAUA
RNAcentral lists this unclassified non-coding RNA (218 nucleotides) under uncultured Inocybaceae. Its description in RNAcentral is "sequence contains ITS1". Lineage: Eukaryota; Fungi; Basidiomycota; Agaricomycetes; Agaricales. The record is from RNAcentral.